CCGUGCUCCGGGACCCCGAGCAGAGCUGCUCGUUUGUCCCCGUGUCCCUGUGUCUGUCCUCAGGCGGCCCCAGGAGCUGGCACUGACCGUGCCGCGGGUCGGGCACAGGCUGCUCCCAGCUCUGCCUGCGGAACUUCGGCAAUUACCGACAGCAGUUCUUUGCCCUGCCAUCCAGAAGGUGCGGCUCAUCUGACACCAGCCAGACGGGGAAGGCCCUGCCUGGGAGGGAAACGGCUACAGGGGAGGAAACCAAGAAAUGCUCCAACCGGAUGGUGCUGCGCGAGUCAAAAGAGGGGUAAGACCGCGGGCAAAUACAGUCAGGAAAUGAGCUUUUAUUCAAUCUCUGCAGGAGCCCUUCGCAGCCACGGGCCGGAGGGAGCGCGGCCGGCUGGGCUGUGCCCGGCUGGGGACGGGCACCAAUUCAUCACUGCCCUGCUCAGGGAGGUUUUCCGGCCCCGUCCGGGCUUCACCCAACGGCUGCAAAGGUGCUCGUGCGGCAUCCGAGCUCAUUUCCAGGGAUAAAGGAGCCAAACGAGUCCGGAGGGAUCCCUCGCUCCGAGGCAAAGGCGUUUGGUCGAGUGUCGCCGCCUGGUCCCGCCUGCGGGGGAGCGUCUCCUCCAGGUGAAUUGUGCACAAGCCAGUCCCCCAUUCCCUAUCCAGGCUGGGAGUGCUCGUGCCCUUGGCACAGAUGGCUCUGGCUGGGCAGGAACUGAGAGCAGGACGUGGGGCAGAGUGGAUCAGCUGCCCAGGGAACAUCCAGGAGAUGAAGCUACGGGAUCCUCAUUCCAAUCAAGGGAACACAUUCUGUCUCUGGCAGAAGCCGGGAGCCAAAGCAGAUCCCGCCUGGCCAGGCUGGGGGGCAGCAGUUGGAUCCACUCUGGGGGAAAGCCCCUGUGCCUGCCAGGAGCUCUGACUCUGUUUGUCCUGCCAGCUCUGACCAGUGUCAGGGCCACUGGGAGGGAUUCAGAAUCCACAGAAAUCCCAAAUCCUACUGAGGGACUCAAUCAAAGGAAGAAAGUAAUUUUUGUCAUAAAAAGAUUAAAAAAACUGUUAAA
Molecule: long non-coding RNA, 1055 nt
Organism: Pseudopipra pipra
Lineage: Eukaryota; Metazoa; Chordata; Aves; Passeriformes; Pipridae
Exons: 3
Source: RefSeq, a predicted model, not a curated record